RNAcentral lists this ribosomal RNA (35 nucleotides) under Caloglossa monosticha. Its description in RNAcentral is "partial 18S rRNA". The record is from RNAcentral. Lineage: Eukaryota; Rhodophyta; Florideophyceae; Ceramiales; Delesseriaceae.
AGGUUUCCGUAGGUGAACCUGCGGAAGGAUCAUUC